AGAACGAACGCUGGCGGCGUGGAUAAGACAUGCAAGUCGAACGGGCUUAAUUUUAGAGCAAUCUAGGGUUGAGCCAGUGGCGAACGGGUGCGUAACACGUGAGUCAUCUGCCUGAAAGUGGGGGAUAGCUCGCCGAAAGGCGAAUUAAUACCGCAUGUGGUUGUGAAACCAAAGCCGGGGCAACCUGGCGCUUUUAGAGGAGCUCGCGGCCUAUCAGCUUGUUGGUGAGGUAACAGCUUACCAAGGCAACGACGGGUAGCUGGUCUGAGAGGACGACCAGCCACACUGGAACUGAGACACGGUCCAGACACCUACGGGUGGCAGCAGUCGAGAAUUUUUCUCAAUGGGGGAAACCCUGAAGGAGCGACGCCGCGUGGAGGAUGAAGGCUUUCGGGUUGUAAACUCCUGUCAUUUGGGAACAAGUCUUACGUUAACUGCGUGGAGAUUUGAUAGUACCGAAAGAGGAAGAGACGGCUAACUCUGUGCCAGCAGCCGCGGUAA
RNAcentral lists this ribosomal RNA (501 nucleotides) under uncultured bacterium. RNAcentral's name for it is "SSU rRNA". It matches the Rfam family "Bacterial small subunit ribosomal RNA", at positions 26 to 523 of the family's 1533-position model. The record is from RNAcentral.